Molecule: ribosomal RNA, 801 nt
Filed under: Triticum aestivum (bread wheat)
Lineage: Eukaryota; Viridiplantae; Streptophyta; Magnoliopsida; Poales; Poaceae
Description: partial small subunit ribosomal RNA
Source: RNAcentral
AUGGUGCCGUCGAAGAGGUUCUCUGCCGCGGAGAAGGGGAAGGCCCCUCGCGAGGGGCCUGGCUCCCCGGCGCCCAAGCGUGGACGCGGCCGUCCCCGCAAGCACACCGCGACCCCCGCCGUGGCCCCUCGCUCCCGGGGUGGCGCCGCUGCGCAUGGCAGGGGUCGUUCCGGUCGUGGCAGCCCUGUCGAUGAGAGGAGACGUGCCAUGGUUGCACGGCCUCCCCGGCCGCGCUUCCACUCGGCGGAGGUGCUGCCGGAGUUCGUCGUCUGGUCAGAGGACCCGGCCGGCAACUGGCUUCAGCUCCCGCGCUUCUUCGCCGAUGAGCUGCCAGCCUCCGGUCCAGGUGGGCUCUGGUUGCAGGCGGACGGUUGCUGUAGCAGGGCUUCUUGGGUUGCGGUCGAGGUCUCCGUCGCGGGCAACAUAGCUCUGGCCUGUGGUUGGCAGACGUUCGCCCGCGCGCGCGGCCUGGGCAGGCGGUGCACCCUCCAUUUCAAGUACGACGGUGAUGCGACCCUCUACGUGAGGGUGUUUGGGGAAGAUGGUCGCCGCGCCGGGUGCUGCCCGGAGGUGAACGGCGGCGUGGAGGUGCUCGGUCUUGGCGAUGGUCGGGACGAGGAGGAGGGCGAACCCGCCCUUGGUGCCGACCACGUCUCGUCCAGCUACGGUGGCUCUUCCCCUGGUGACAGCUCCAGCAGUGGUGGCUACGACCAGCCGCCACGCCGCCGCGCCCGCUUCAAAGGUGGCAGCGGGUCGUCUUGUCGCCGCGCCUUCGUGAAGCGCGAGGCGGGGUCCGGCUGA